This 466-nucleotide ribosomal RNA is filed under the name uncultured bacterium. RNAcentral's name for it is "partial 16S ribosomal RNA". It matches the Rfam family "Bacterial small subunit ribosomal RNA", at positions 28 to 507 of the family's 1533-position model. The record is from RNAcentral.
GAUGAACGCUGGCGGCGUGCUUAACACAUGCAAGUCGAACGGAAAGGCUCCUGCUUGCAGGGGUACUCGAAUGGCGAACGGGUGAGUAACACGUGGGUGAUCUGCCCUGCACUUCGGGAUAAGCCUGGGAAACUGGGUCUAAUACCGGAUAGGACGAUGGUUUGGAUGCCAUUGUGGAAAGUUUUUUCGGUGUGGGAUGGGCUCGCGGCCUAUCAGCUUGUUGGUGGGGUAAUGGCCUACCAAGGCGUCGACGGGUAGCCGGCCUGAGAGGGUGUACGGCCACAUUGGGACUGAGAUACGGCCCAGACUCCUACGGGAGGCAGCAGUGGGGAAUAUUGCACAAUGGGCGCAAGCCUGAUGCAGCGACGCCGCGUGGGGGAUGACGGCCUUCGGGUUGUAAACUCCUUUCGCUAGGGACGAAGCGCAAGUGACGGUACCUGGAGAAGAAGCACCGGCUAACUACGUG